CUGGGUGGAUGAGUGGCGAACGGGUGAGUAAUACGUGAGUAACCUGCCCUUGACUCUGGGAUAAGCCUGGGAAACUGGGUCUAAUACUGGAUAUGACAUGUCACCGCAUGGUGGUGUGUGGAAAGGGUUUUACUGGUUUUGGAUGGGCUCACGGCCUAUCAGCUUGUUGGUGGGGUAAUGGCUCACCAAGGCGACGACGGGUAGCCGGCCUGAGAGGGUGACCGGCCACACUGGGACUGAGACACGGCCCAGACUCCUACGGGAGGCAGCAGUGGGGAAUAUUGCACAAUGGGCGAAAGCCUGAUGCAGCGACGCCGCGUGAGGGAUGACGGCCUUCGGGUUGUAAACCUCUUUCAGCACGGAAGAAGCGAAAGUGACGGUACGUGCAGAAGAAGCGCCGGCUAACUACGUGCCAGCAGCCGCGGUAAUACGUAGGGCGCAAGCGUUGUCCGGAAUUAUUGGGCGUAAAGAGCUCGUAGGCGGUUUGUCGCGUCUGCUGUGAAAGCCCGGGGCUUAACCCCGGGUGUGCA
Molecule: ribosomal RNA, 530 nt
Filed under: Kocuria sp. AmSamHD26
Lineage: Bacteria; Bacillati; Actinomycetota; Actinomycetes; Micrococcales; Micrococcaceae
Description: bacterial SSU rRNA
Rfam family: Bacterial small subunit ribosomal RNA
Source: RNAcentral